RNAcentral lists this ribosomal RNA (312 nucleotides) under Triticum aestivum (bread wheat). Its description in RNAcentral is "partial small subunit ribosomal RNA". The record is from RNAcentral. Lineage: Eukaryota; Viridiplantae; Streptophyta; Magnoliopsida; Poales; Poaceae.
AUUCACCCCUCCAAAUGCAAUUGCAUGGAGAGAACCUUUGGAGUAUGGAAAAUGGAAUGGCAAAUUCUCCUCAAGAUGCCAAACUACUCGUUCCAAACACAUAUGAAGAUUGUUGCAGCUACUAUGACAUUGCACAACUAUGUUCGCCUCCAUAACAAAGAUGAUCUCCACUUUAUUCGAUGUGAAAGAGAUCCGGAUUAUGUUCCAACAAUUCCGGAUAGAUACAAGAAGUAUGUUAUUCCUUCCAGUGCAUCGGAUGCUUCUACUUCGGAGGCAAGUGCUCCUGAUAUGGAUAGGUUUAGAAUGAACUAG